This 1204-nucleotide ribosomal RNA is filed under the name Turritella capensis. RNAcentral describes it as "Protomella capensis partial 16S ribosomal RNA". It matches the Rfam family "Bacterial large subunit ribosomal RNA", at positions 486 to 2577 of the family's 2925-position model. The record is from RNAcentral. Lineage: Eukaryota; Metazoa; Mollusca; Gastropoda; Turritellidae.
UUAACUUUUUAGUUUUAUUCUUUCAUUUUAAAAAUUUAAAACAUUAAAAGGCACAGUAAAGGAGAAAGAAAUUGCUAAUAAAUUUAAAAAGUACCGCAAGGGAACUAUCUAAUUACAUAGAAAGCAGUCACUUUUGACGUACUUUUUGCAUCACGGCUUAGCUAGAGUAAAUUAACUUUUUAAAAUCUCGAAAGCUAGCGAGCUAUCUUCUCCUGGAAUUUUAGGUUCUCCUCCAAAAAUGUAGCAAAAUCUUGGUAAGAGGAAAAGAUAGUGAUAACAUGUUAUUCGCGCUAGUGAUAGCUAGUUCCUUUAAAAAUACAUAGAAGUGUAGAACUAAUUAUGCACUUUUAAACAUUAUAUUUCAAAAAUGUUUUACAAUAUUAGUUCCCAAAUUUUUAAGGAUAAGCUUGAAAAUUAACAUAGCGAAAUAUAGGCAUAUUAACUCAUAUUAUAGGCCUGAAAUUAGCCAUUAAAACCGAAACUUGUUAUAAGGUCUUAUCUAACUAAAAAUAUUAAUAUAUUUUCUUCUAAAAAAAUAAAGGUCAAAGAUAAAACUAAUAUAUCCUUUAAACUAAUGCUAGGAUGAGUAUUNAACCUCAACUACUUCUGAGAACAAAAUAUUAAUCUCAGAUAUAAAGUAAAUAAUAUAAAAUAUAUGAAUUUUUCUGAAGGAACUCGGCAAAGUCAAUUGCUCCGCCUGUUUAUCAAAAACAUCGCUCUCUGUAAUUACAAGAUAGGAAGUUGAACCUGCCCAGUGAAAUUUUUCAACGGCCGCGGUACUCUGACCGUGCAAAGGUAGCAUAAUCAUUUGCCUUAUAAUUGAAGGCUAGUAUGAAUGGUCUGACGAGAGCAAUUCUGUCUCCUUUUUAUUUUAUAGAAUUUGACUUUUAGGUGAAGAGGCCUAAAUUUUAUUGAAGGACAAGAAGACCCUGUCGAGCUUAAAAAGAAGACAGAAAAUCUUAUACUGUUUUUAGAUACAAAACUGUUAAUCUUUUUUGGUUGGGGCGACCAAGGAACAGAAAAAGCUUCCUCUAACUUUACUUAAAACUUAUAUGUUUUGAUCCAGUCAGAACUGAUUAAAAAAAUUAGUUACCGCAGGGAUAACAGCAUAAUCUCCUUUAAGAGAUCAAAUCGAAAGGGGGGGUUGUGACCUCGAUGUUGGACUAGAAUAUCCUAAAGAUGCAGAAGUCUUUAAAGGUUGGUC